CGGCAGGCCUUAUACAUGCAAGUCGAACGGUAACAUUGGUGCUUGCACCAGAUGACGAGUGGCGCACGGGUGCGUAACGCGUAUGCAACCUACCUUUUACUAGAGUAUAGCCCAGAGAAAUUUGGAUUAAUCCUCUAUAACAUCUUUUAAUUUCAUGAUUAAUUGAUUAAAGUUUUAACGGUAAAAGAUGGGCAUGCGUCCUAUUAGUUUGUAGGUGAGGUAACGGCUCACCUAGACUACGAUAGGUAGGGGCCCUGAGAGGGGGAUCCCCCACACUGGUACUGAGACACGGACCAGACUCCUACGGGAGGCAGCAGUAAGGAAUAUUGGACAAUGGACGAAAGUCUGAUCCAGCCAUGCCGCGUGCAGGAUGAAAGCCCUAUGGGUUGUAAACUGCUUUUAUACAGGAAGAAACACUCCGACGUGUCGGAGCUUGACGGUACUGUAAGAAUAAGGAUCGGCUAA
RNAcentral lists this ribosomal RNA (465 nucleotides) under uncultured Flavobacteriaceae bacterium. RNAcentral describes it as "bacterial SSU rRNA". It matches the Rfam family "Bacterial small subunit ribosomal RNA", at positions 40 to 500 of the family's 1533-position model. Lineage: Bacteria; Pseudomonadati; Bacteroidota; Flavobacteriia; Flavobacteriales; Flavobacteriaceae. The record is from RNAcentral.